RNAcentral lists this microRNA precursor (79 nucleotides) under Schistosoma japonicum. RNAcentral's name for it is "microRNA sja-mir-2c precursor". Its record names the gene sja-mir-2c. Lineage: Eukaryota; Metazoa; Platyhelminthes; Trematoda; Strigeidida; Schistosomatidae. The record is from miRBase by way of RNAcentral.
UUCAGGCGCAACCCUUGUUCGACUGUGAUGUGAUUGAAAUUAGCCCAUAUCACAGCCGUGCUUAAGGGCUUCGUCGAAA